Molecule: non-coding RNA, 770 nt
Organism: Pocillopora verrucosa
Lineage: Eukaryota; Metazoa; Cnidaria; Anthozoa; Scleractinia; Pocilloporidae
Source: RefSeq, a predicted model, not a curated record
UGGAUCAUCCAGGGAAAACGCCGGAAGAGACUACUGAUGACGAGGUAGAAAACUUGCAUGGUGUUAUAUAUGACGAACAUAUAUGGAAGUUUGUUACUUUGGUAUUAGUGCUUACCCUUCUGCACCUAGAAAGAAAUGCUCCUUCUGAGAGCAACUACACUCCUCAAAAUUGAUGAAUCUAGGUAAUGUAAGAAUUAAUUCACUCAUUUCUGGAAAAUAAAAGGUCAAAUCAUAUUUUUGAACCUACGCAGUGACUUCUCCCUGAUGGAUCAAAUAGGAAAAACUUCAAAGAGGUCAUUUUUUGCCACACAUAACUCAAUUAAAAGUAUAAUAAUAAAUAAGGUGUAACAACCUUUGUUAUGGACAAAAAGGUUUAUACCAGUAAACAUGUGUGGGUCACCAAAGUACAGAAAUAUGUCUAGCUGAACGUAGCAAAUACUUUAUUUUCUUGAAUAAAUUCCAAUGCUCUAAUCAGCACCCUCCCUCCAUCAAACUCCACCCUCAGGCCAUAAUAUCAAACAAGCACCCCUCUCAUCUCUCAUUUUGUGAAAUGGUAGGGAUAUCUAGGGAUACAAGGAAAACCUGUUUCCAAUUUGCCUCUUUAGUUUUAACUUUUUAAGCUUCAGCUAUAGCUGAAUUUGCACUGGACAAUAAUAAGCAACCCCCUUGAUUAACCCUCUACACCAUAACAUCAUUAUGCAUAUUCUCCAUACUAUUCUCUUUACAUUUCUUAAGGUGCUGACAAGAAGAAUUAGUUUAACAAUCAAGAG